Molecule: microRNA precursor, 89 nt
Filed under: Canis lupus familiaris (dog)
Lineage: Eukaryota; Metazoa; Chordata; Mammalia; Carnivora; Canidae
Also listed under: 1 other name
Description: mir-8799 microRNA precursor family
Rfam family: mir-8799 microRNA precursor family
Source: Rfam by way of RNAcentral
UGGGGAGCACAGGAUCCUGGGCUGUGUCCCCGGCGCCCUGGGAUCCAGGGCCUGUGCCACUGGGAUCACGCUCUAGGCCAGGUCCCCCA